AGAACAGAGAAACAGAGGAU
This 20-nucleotide small nuclear RNA is filed under the name Arabidopsis thaliana (thale cress). RNAcentral describes it as "snRNA_01260". Lineage: Eukaryota; Viridiplantae; Streptophyta; Magnoliopsida; Brassicales; Brassicaceae. The record is from RNAcentral.